Molecule: ribosomal RNA, 583 nt
Filed under: uncultured bacterium
Lineage: Bacteria
Description: bacterial SSU rRNA
Rfam family: Bacterial small subunit ribosomal RNA
Source: RNAcentral
ACGGGUGAGUAACACGUAGGCAACCUGCCUGCAAGACGGGGAUAACUACCGGAAACGGUAGCUAAUACCGGAUACACAAUUUUCUCGCAUGAGAGAAUUGGGAAAGACGGAGCAAUCUGUCACUUGCAGAUGGGCCUGCGGCGCAUUAGCUAGUUGGUGAGGUAACGGCUCACCAAGGCGACGAUGCGUAGCCGACCUGAGAGGGUGAACGGCCACACUGGGACUGAGACACGGCCCAGACUCCUACGGGAGGCAGCAGUAGGGAAUCUUCCGCAAUGGACGAAAGUCUGACGGAGCAACGCCGCGUGAGUGAUGAAGGUUUUCGGAUCGUAAAGCUCUGUUGCCAGGGAAGAACGUCGGGUAGAGUAACUGCUACCCGAGUGACGGUACCUGAGAAGAAAGCCCCGGCUAACUACGUGCCAGCAGCCGCGGUAAUACGUAGGGGCAAGCGUUGUCCGGAAUUAUUGGGCGUAAAGCGCGCGCAGGCGGCUAUUUAAGUCUGGUGUUUAAUCCCGGAGCUCAACUCCGGAUCGCAUUGGAAACUGGGUAGCUUGAGUGCAGAAGAGGAAAGUGGAAUUCCACG